UACGGAGGAUCCAAGCGUUAUCCGGAUUUAUUGGGUUUAAAGGGUGCGUAGGCGGCCUAUUAAGUCAGGGGUGAAAGCCGGUAGCUUAACUAUCGCAGUGCCUUUGAUACUGAUGGGCUUGAAUGUACUUGAGGUAGGCGGAAUGUGACAAGUAGCGGUGAAAUGCAUAGAUAUGUCACAGAACACCAAUUGCGAAGGCAGCUUACUAAAGUAUGAUUGACGCUGAGGCACGAAAGCGUGGGGAUCAAACAGG
RNAcentral lists this ribosomal RNA (253 nucleotides) under uncultured bacterium. RNAcentral describes it as "partial 16S ribosomal RNA". It matches the Rfam family "Bacterial small subunit ribosomal RNA", at positions 524 to 776 of the family's 1533-position model. The record is from RNAcentral.